Molecule: ribosomal RNA, 854 nt
Filed under: uncultured bacterium
Lineage: Bacteria
Description: bacterial SSU rRNA
Rfam family: Bacterial small subunit ribosomal RNA
Source: RNAcentral
GGCUCAGGAUGAACGCUGGCGGCGUGCCUAAUACAUGCAAGUCGAACGGACAUAGCAAUAUGUUAGUGGCGACCGGGUGCGUAACACGUAGCUGACCUGCCUUUCCGCGGGGGACAACAGUUCGAAAGGGCUGCUAAUACCGCAUACAUUUGAGGAGUUUAGAAAUCUUCAAAGAAACUUCAGGGGCGGAAAGAGGGGGCUGCGGCCCAUCAGGUAGUUGGUGAGGUAAAGGCUCACCAAGCCGACGACGGGUAGGGGGCCUGAGAGGGUGACCCCCCACACUGGAACAGACAGACGGUCCAGACUCCUACGGGAGGCAGCAGUAAGGGAUAUUGGUCAAUGGGCGAAAGCCUGAACCAGCAACGCCGCGUGGAGGAAGAAGGUCUUCGGAUUGUAAACUCCUUUUGCAGGGGAAGAGCAAGGACGGUACCCUGCGAAUAAGUCUCGGCUAACUACGUGCCAGCAGCCGCGGUAAAACGUAGGAGGCGAGCGUUAUCCGGAUUUACUGGGCGUAAAGGGUGUGCAGGUGGGCCGUUAAGUGGUGCAUGAAAGUGAAGGGCUUAACCCUUCGAGGCUGUGCCAGACUGGGGGUCUAGAGUACGGGAGAGGGUUGUGGAAUUCCGGGUGUAGUGGUGAAAUGCGUAGAGAUCCGGAGGAACACCAGAGGCGAAGGCGGCAACCUGGCCCGUAACUGACACUGAGACACGACAGCAUGGGGAGCGAACGGGAUUAGAAACCCCGGUAGUCCAUGCCGUAAACGAUGACUGCUGGGCGUCGGAUGGCUAACACCGUCCGGUGUCGAAGUUAACACGUUAAGCAGUCCGCCUGGGGAGUACGGUCCGCAAAGCUAAAAC